Molecule: ribosomal RNA, 682 nt
Filed under: uncultured bacterium
Lineage: Bacteria
Description: bacterial SSU rRNA
Rfam family: Bacterial small subunit ribosomal RNA
Source: RNAcentral
AUGCUUAACACAUGCAAGUCGAACGGAAACGAUGGAAGCUUGCUUCCAGGCGUCGAGUGGCGGACGGGUGAGUAAUGCUUGGGAAUCUGCCUAAUAGUGGGGGAAAACUCGGGGAAACUCGGGCUAAUACCGCAUAAUCUCUUCGGAGGAAAGGGGGCCUCUACAUGUAAGCCCUCGCUAAUAGAUGAGCCCAAGUCAGAUUAGCUUGUUGGUGAGGUAAAAGCUCACCAAGGCUACGAUCUGUAGCUGGUCUGAGAGGACGAUCAGCCACACUGGGACUGAGACACGGCCCAGACUCCUACGGGAGGCAGCAGUGGGGAAUAUUGGACAAUGGGCGGAAGUCUGAUCCAGCAAUACCACGUGUGUGAAGAAGGCCUUAGGGUUGUAAAGCACUUUCAGUGGGGAGGAAGGGUGCUAGGUUAAGAGCUAAGUAUUUUGACGUUACCCACAGAAGAAGCACCGGCUAACUCCGUGCCAGCAGCCGCGGUAAUACGGAGGGUGCGAGCGUUAAUCGGAAUUACUGGGCGUAAAGGGUUCGUAGGCGGUUAUAUAAGUCAGAUGUGAAAUCCCUGGGCUCAACCUAGGAACUGCAUAUGAAACUGUAUGGCUAGAGUAUAGUAGAGGAGAGGGGAAUUUCCGGUGUAGCGGUGAAAUGCGUAGAGAUCGGAAGGAACACCAGUGG